UUUAAUUGAAGAGUUUGAUCAUGGCUCAGAUUGAACGCUGGCGGCAGGCCUAACACAUGCAAGUCGAGCGGCAGCACAAGUGAGUUUACUC
This 91-nucleotide ribosomal RNA is filed under the name Shewanella xiamenensis. Its description in RNAcentral is "partial 16S ribosomal RNA". It matches the Rfam family "Bacterial small subunit ribosomal RNA", at positions 1 to 85 of the family's 1533-position model. The record is from RNAcentral. Lineage: Bacteria; Pseudomonadati; Pseudomonadota; Gammaproteobacteria; Alteromonadales; Shewanellaceae.